UUUAAUUAUUUAAUUUAAAUUAGUUAAUUCUUUGUAAUCUUUUUUUUUUUUUUUGAUGUUCAAAGAACAUUUAGAUAUAUCUUCUAUUCAUCACAAUGAUUUGAGAGUGAAACGGUUCCCAAUUCCAUUCACGUAUUAAUGUAACACUGACAUGGAUUUAGAAUAUUUGUUAGAAAAUUUUCAACCAUAAAUGGAUGUUGAACAUCUCAAUAUGGACACCAGUGAAUCCAAAAAGUGUGAAGAUCAUCUUGAAAAACUUCGUUGGUGAUUUAAGUAUUUCUUUCCAUUCACAAAAGCUGAUGUAUGAGCAGUAAUCUUGAAGAUGAUGUCGAUGAGGAUAAUUUGAAUAACCCUGAGGAGGAGGAGGAGCAUUCUUGUAAUUGCAAUCUUGAUCCGUGUACUAGAUAUUUAUAACUAUUAAAAUUAUUUAAUAAAUAAAGUAUCUAAUAAAAAUA
Long non-coding RNA from Aethina tumida (small hive beetle), 455 nucleotides. RefSeq lists it as uncharacterized. The record is from RefSeq and is a predicted model, not a curated record. The transcript has 2 exons. Lineage: Eukaryota; Metazoa; Arthropoda; Insecta; Coleoptera; Nitidulidae.